Molecule: ribosomal RNA, 403 nt
Filed under: uncultured bacterium
Lineage: Bacteria
Description: partial 16S ribosomal RNA
Rfam family: Bacterial small subunit ribosomal RNA
Source: RNAcentral
AUCGAACGCUGGCGGCAGGCCUAACACAUGCAAGUCGAGCGAGCGGCGGACGGGUGAGUAAUGUAUGGGGACUGCCUGAUCGAGGGGGAUAACUACUGGAAACGGUGGCUAAUACCGCAUACUAUCGGAUAACCCAUAUGGGAUUAGCUAUUAGGUGGGGUAAAGGCUCACCUAGGCGACGAUGUCUAGCUGGUCUGAGAGGAUGAUCGGCCGAACUGGGACUGAGACACGGCCCAGACUCCUACGGAGGCAGCAGUGGGGAAUAUUGCGCAAUGGGCGAAAGGCUGAUGGAGCCAUGCCGCGUGGAUGAAGAAGGCCUUAGGGUUGUAAAGUACUUCCAGCGGGGAGGCGGUACCCGGAGAAGAAGCACCGGCUAACUCCGUGCCAGCAGCCGCGGUAAUAC